UCAUGGCUCCGGAUGAACGCGGCGGCGUGCCUAAUACAUGCAAGUCGAGCGAACAGACGAGGAGCUUGCUCCUCUGACGUAGCGGCGGACGGGUGAGUAACACGUGGGUAACCUACCUAUAAGACUGGGAUAACUCCGGGAAACCGGGGCUAAUGCCGGAUAACACAUGAAACCGCAUGGUUUCAUGAUGAAAGACGGUUUUGCUGUCACUUAUAGAUGGACCCGCGGCGUAUUAGCUAGUUGGUAAGGUAACGGCUUACCAAGGCAACGAUACGUAGCCGACCUGAGAGGGUGAUCGGCCACACUGGAACUGAGACACGGUCCAGACUCCUACGGGAGGCAGCAGUAGGGAAUCUUCCGCAAUGGGCGAAAGCCUGACGGAGCAACGCCGCGUGAGUGAUGAAGGUCUUCGGAUCGUAAAACUCUGUUAUUAGGGAAGAACAAGGAUGUAAGUAACUUGCAUCCCUGA
RNAcentral lists this ribosomal RNA (469 nucleotides) under bacterium Urfbp19. RNAcentral describes it as "bacterial SSU rRNA". It matches the Rfam family "Bacterial small subunit ribosomal RNA", at positions 17 to 472 of the family's 1533-position model. The record is from RNAcentral.